CAUGCAAGUCGAACGAUGAAGGGAGCUUGCUCCUGGAUUAGUGGCGAACGGGUGAGUAACACGUGAGUAACCUGCCCUUAACUCUGGGAUAAGCCUGGGAAACUGGGUCUAAUACCGGAUAUGACUCCUCAUCGCAUGGUGGGGGGUGGAAAGCUUUUUGUGGUUUUGGAUGGACUCGCGGCCUAUCAGCUUGUUGGUGAGGUAAUGGCUCACCAAGGCGACGACGGGUAGCCGGCCUGAGAGGGUGACCGGCCACACUGGGACUGAGACACGGCCCAGACUCCUACGGGAGGCAGCAGUGGGGAAUAUUGCACAAUGGGCGAAAGCCUGAUGCAGCGACGCCGCGUGAGGGAUGACGGCCUUCGGGUUGUAAACCUCUUUCAGUAGGGAAGAAGCGAAAGUGACGGUACCUGCAGAAGAAGCGCCGGCUAACUACGUGCCAGCAGCCGCGGUAAUACGUAGGGCGCAAGCGUUAUCCGGAAUUAUUGGGCGUAAAGAGCUCGUAGGCGGUUUGUCGCGUCUGCUGUGAAAGACCGGGGCUCAACUCCGGUUCUGCAGUGNGUACGGGCAGACUAGAGUGAUGUAGGGGAGACUGGAAUUCCUGGUGUAGCGGUGAAAUGCGCAGAUAUCANGAGGAACACCGAUGGCGAANGCAGGUCUCUGGGCAUUAACUGACGCUGA
This 681-nucleotide ribosomal RNA is filed under the name uncultured bacterium. RNAcentral's name for it is "bacterial SSU rRNA". It matches the Rfam family "Bacterial small subunit ribosomal RNA", at positions 54 to 749 of the family's 1533-position model. The record is from RNAcentral.